Molecule: long non-coding RNA, 812 nt
Organism: Helianthus annuus (common sunflower)
Lineage: Eukaryota; Viridiplantae; Streptophyta; Magnoliopsida; Asterales; Asteraceae
Exons: 3
Source: RefSeq, a predicted model, not a curated record
AACGGUUACCAAACCAACAUUCACAUUCCAUCUUCACGCGUCAUGGUCACAAUGCGUUUUGGUCACCACGCGUGAUGGUUUUUGGCGGUGGCGGUGUAUCAAGUUAAUCCACGCGCCACGCGUGGUCUUUGGGCCACAACGCGGCGCCCCGACCCCGCUAAAAUAAACACACAAACACACACUUGAAUUAAAAACUCUCUUGAUUUCUUCAACUAUUCAAUACAGUACACCUGCUUCACCAUCCCCAUAAACAUGCCCGAAAGCAAGAAAGUGGUUAUUAAAGUGGAUAUCCAUGACAACAAUGACAAAAGGAAAGUAUUAAAGGCGGUUUCGAGUCUUUUAGGGAUCGACUCCUUGGCUAUCGAUAAGGACAAGAAACUACGAUCAUUGGAGACGUUGAUCCAGGGGACGUCGUCAGAAAACUUAAAAAAUGGCACACCGGUAUACUCACAGUCGGACCUGCAAAAGAACCAAGUCCCCAGAAGCCAAAAGAUGGUGGUGAGAAGAAUCUGAAUGAUCCCAAGGGUGGUUUUAUUUGUUUGCUUUUAUCCUGUGGAAGAUUACAAUGCUUACAAUCCUUAUCUAACACAAUGGCGUGCUCAUUCUGUGGAAGAUGAUCCCUGGGGUUAUGUUAUUUUGUAAAAGAGAAGAUGCAUUAGUAGACCAAGAAAAUAAUGGUGCCGCAGAAAAUAAUGGAGAAGGUAGGAAUCGAACUUGGGUCCCUUAGAACACCAAGUCUCCCCCCUUACCACUCCACUAUCACCUCAUCGUUUGAUGUGUUUUAUAACUAGACUGAAUAUUAAAUUGUUUGU